UACGGGAGUGGCAAGCGUUAUCCGGAAUUAUUGGGCGUAAAGCGUCCGCAGGCGGCCCUUCAAGUCUGCUGUUAAAGCGUGGAGCUUAACUCCAUUUCGGCAGUGGAAACUGACAGACUAGAGUGUGGUAGGGGCAGAGGGAAUUCCCGGUGUAGCGGUGAAAUGCGUAGAUAUCGGGAAGAACACCAGUGGCGAAGGCGCUCUGCUGGGCCAUCACUGACGCUCAUGGACGAAAGCCAGGGGAGCGAAAGGG
RNAcentral lists this ribosomal RNA (253 nucleotides) under uncultured bacterium. RNAcentral describes it as "partial 16S ribosomal RNA". It matches the Rfam family "Bacterial small subunit ribosomal RNA", at positions 524 to 776 of the family's 1533-position model. The record is from RNAcentral.